This 25-nucleotide non-coding RNA is filed under the name Cricetulus griseus (Chinese hamster). The record is from RNAcentral. Lineage: Eukaryota; Metazoa; Chordata; Mammalia; Rodentia; Cricetidae.
GAGAAAUGUCCUGGAGCAUAAUGAC